GAGCACGUAGGUGGGUUUGUAAGUCAGAGGUGAAAGCCUGUAGCUCAACUCCAGAACUGCCUUUGAGACUGCAUCGCUUGAAUCCAGGAGAGGUGAGUGGAAUUCCGAGUGUAGAGGUGAAAUUUGUAGAUAUUUGGAAGAACACCAGUGGCGAAGGCGGCUCACUGGACUGGUAUCGACGCUGAGGUGCGAAAGCGAGGGGAGCAAACAGGAUUAGAUACCCUGGUAGUCCACGCCGUAAACGAUGAUAACUAGCUGUCCGGGCACUAAGUAGAGGGG
This 279-nucleotide ribosomal RNA is filed under the name uncultured bacterium. RNAcentral describes it as "partial 16S ribosomal RNA". It matches the Rfam family "Bacterial small subunit ribosomal RNA", at positions 565 to 843 of the family's 1533-position model. The record is from RNAcentral.